GGGGAGCAGCCCAGAGCCUGAAUCAGUGUGUGUGUUAGUGGAAGCGUCUGGAAAGGCGUGCGAUACAGGGUGACAGCCCCGUACACAAAAAUGCACAUACUGUGAGCUCGAUGAGUAGGGCGGGACACGUGGUAUCCUGUCUGAAUAUGGGGGGACCAUCCUCCAAGGCUAAAUACUCCUGACUGACCGAUAGUGAACCAGUACCGUGAGGGAAAGGCGAAAAGAACCCCGGCGAGGGGAGUGAAAAAGAACCUGAAACCGUGUACGUACAAGCAGUGGGAGCACGCUUAGGCGUGUGACUGCGUACCUUUUGUAUAAUGGGUCAGCGACUUAUAUUCUGUAGCAAGGUUAACCGAAUAGGGGAGCCGAAGGGAAACCGAGUCUUAACUGGGCGUUAAGUUGCAGGGUAUAGACCCGAAACCCGGUGAUCUAGCCAUGGGCAGGUUGAAGGUUGGGUAACACUAACUGGAGGACCGAACCGACUAAUGUUGAAAAAUUAGCGGAUGACUUGUGGCUGGGGGUGAAAGGCCAAUCAAACCGGGAGAUAGCUGGUUCUCCCCGAAAGCUAUUUAGGUAGCGCCUCGUGAAUUCAUCUCCGGGGGUAGAGCACUGUUUCGGCAAGGGGGUCAUCCCGACUUACCAACCCGAUGCAAACUGCGAAUACCGGAGAAUGUUAUCACGGGAGACACACGGCGGGUGCUAACGUCCGUCGUGAAGAGGGAAACAACCCAGACCGCCAGCUAAGGUCCCAAAGUCAUGGUUAAGUGGGAAACGAUGUGGGAAGGCCCAGACAGCCAGGAUGUUGGCUUAGAAGCAGCCAUCAUUUAAAGAAAGCGUAAUAGCUCACUGGUCGAGUCGGCCUGCGCGGAAGAUGUAACGGGGCUAAACCAUG
This 892-nucleotide ribosomal RNA is filed under the name Escherichia coli. RNAcentral describes it as "partial 23S ribosomal RNA". It matches the Rfam family "Bacterial large subunit ribosomal RNA", at positions 292 to 1191 of the family's 2925-position model. The record is from RNAcentral. Lineage: Bacteria; Pseudomonadati; Pseudomonadota; Gammaproteobacteria; Enterobacterales; Enterobacteriaceae.